CGUCAAAUCAGCACGGCCCUUAUGUCCAGGGCUACACACGUGCUACAAUUGGCGGUACAGAGCGAAGCGAAGCCGCGAGGCCAGAGCGAAGCGCGAAAGCCGCCCGUAGUCCGGAUUGAAGUCUGAAACCCGACUUCAUGAAGUUGGAAUCGCUAGUAAUCGCGCAUCAGCAUGGCGCGGUGAAUACGUUCCCGGGCCUU
Molecule: ribosomal RNA, 200 nt
Filed under: uncultured prokaryote
Description: partial 16S ribosomal RNA
Rfam family: Bacterial small subunit ribosomal RNA
Source: RNAcentral